Molecule: ribosomal RNA, 167 nt
Filed under: Escherichia coli
Lineage: Bacteria; Pseudomonadati; Pseudomonadota; Gammaproteobacteria; Enterobacterales; Enterobacteriaceae
Also listed under: 2 other names
Description: partial 16S ribosomal RNA
Rfam family: Bacterial small subunit ribosomal RNA
Source: RNAcentral
UUAAAUUGAAGAGUUUGAUCAUGGCUCAGAUUGAACGCUGGCGGCAGGCCUAACACAUGCAAGUCGAACGGUAACAGGAAGCAGCUUGCUGCUUUGCUGACGAGUGGCGGACGGGUGAGUAAUGUCUGGGAAACUGCCUGAUGGAGGGGGAUAACUACUGGAAACGG